This is a long non-coding RNA of Passer domesticus (house sparrow), 7037 nucleotides long. RefSeq lists it as uncharacterized. The transcript has 10 exons. NCBI's taxonomy places the organism in Eukaryota, Metazoa, Chordata, Aves, Passeriformes, Passeridae. The record is from RefSeq and is a predicted model, not a curated record.
CCAGCCAAUCGCAGCCUCACUUCCAGCCGUCACUCAAGCUGGCUCUCCUCACUCCCAACUGCCCCUCAGGCUCCCCGUCCGGCCUGCAGCUGGGCCUUUCCCACAGGGCCCUCUGGGGAAGCUCUGCCCUGGAGAUUCUGGGGUGAAUUCACCCAUGCAGGCGUUCACCAUGGUCUUUGGUGCGCCAUGGGAAGGGCUGCUUGGGUGCUGGGCAUGCUGUGGGAAAUGUUUGUGGACAGAAGACAAAGCCCCUUUUUGCUGAAUGAGUAGCCACAGGCUGAACCCUCUCAAUUAGAAAACAUUAAACCCUGCUUUCCAUGACUUCAGUGAGCCAUGAACCCAGGACCAGCACAAACAGCUUCAUCUCAGGACAUGGCAGAAACAUCCAGGGAUAACUGAAGGUGUUUGUCUCCUGCAAUGCAAGUGGAAACUGAUGAGUCCAGUGGCAGGAAAGUUAAACGUGCAGGGAGAGUGGAUGCUCACGGGACAGCAAACGGGCAGGAACAGGCAGGUGUGCCAGCUGCCAGGAGUCUGUCUCAGUACCAAGAGAGCCUCCAAAACAAAACAUAUCUCGGAUGGAUCUUCAAAACACCUAUGUGUUCGGUGUGCACUCGCUUCGGUCACUAGAUGGCAAUAAAGACCCAACGUGCUCUUCGCUGGGCAGCAGGGGAGCAUCGUAGAGCUCGGCCUGGAUUUCCCCAGGAGAUAGAACUGGAAGAUGCUAGAGAAGCCAAGAACGGAAUUUGCCACAGUGGUUUGCCAGCUAGUCAGCAACAGCAUCUUCCUAAUUUUCCUUUGUGCACAUCACACACCUGGGGCUGCAGGAAGAAGUGGCAGCCUUGUGUAAAACAGCAAAAGGACCAGGAGAGCAUCCCCUCCUCAGUUCAGGGCAUGAGCCCUGUGUUCAGGAAAACCUCAGUGAAUUGGUGGAAAAGAGGACCAGUCUGUGUGCUCUAAUAACAAGAUGUUCUUACCUCUCCCAAUUCAUGCUCUGGAUACUUGCUGACAAAUGACCUCAUGUGAGAGAAGACUCAAAUAUUUUGGGUGAGGAAGACAUUUAAAUGCAGGAACUUCAGAGAAGUGCCUCACAUGGAGCAAGUCUUUAACCUGUGCUUAUGCCAAGUUGUAUCCCAGACAACAUUUAAGCAGGUUUUCUGAAAUCAAGGCUCACAGAGCAGGCAGCUUAUGUUUGCUUUGAUGGGCAAAGUUGCUGCAGGGUCAAGUGGAAAGAAGAGAUUGGCAGGAAAGGAGCAAAGCCUCCUUAAAUGAAAGUGUCUGCAAUAAUUAGCAAAUGUUGCAAAAAUGAGCUGAUAAACAAGCAAAAGGUAAGAAGGGAAAGGUAAGCUUCAGGGCAAUUAAUUAAGAUGGUAAAUGAAAAGAGACCCAAAAUUUUUGCAGGAAUUGAAUUUAACAGAUGGGAGGGUAUACUGGGAGCAUGGUAUUUGUUCAAGCAGUGAGAAAAAGCUGGAAAUACAGGGAUGCAGAACCAUUUUAAAAGGAACUAGUUUGUUUUCCAGGAAUAAGCCUCAAGGAAAGCAAGAAAACAUUUAAUUUCUUUGCCCACAUUUGUAUUUUUGCUGUUUAUGAAGUCCAAAGAAAUGGAAGUUCCUUUGCAAAACUGGAGAACCCACAUCCAGCUCUGCUCUUCAAGUGCAAGCACCCAACCAGUGUUUCAAUUAACCUGCAGUGAAGCAGACCUGAACAGAUGGGUUUGGGAUGUAGCCUGUAUCCUGCUGUGGAGCUGAGCCUCACUGCCUGUGCACCCUCUGGGGGUCCCUUCCCACCCCCUCAGCCCCAGCAGGAGCCAAGGGCUGCUGCCUGACCUCCCUGUGUCCCACAGAAACGUGAGAAGCCCAGCUCUGGAAUGGGCUCAGUCAUCCUGCACAGCUGGCAGUCAGUGGCUCAGGGGAGGGGAGGGAUCAGUGGGUGCAUAAAUGCAGGGAGGGGACUCCCCCUCUUCCUUUGUCCCUGACUGCCCUGAAGUUCUGGAGCAGGCUGAGACUGCACAAGAGAUUUGGGUCUGCAGCAGAGCAGCAAUCUCUGGAUGCCUGAUUGCGGCUGACAGAGAGAUCAAAGCACAGCAUCCUCUGGGAAAAGGAGAGAUAAAGGGAGAAGAAAACGUUCCAGAAGCACCAACAAGCUGGAGCUGUGUUCAGCCCCUUUUGGAACAAUAAUCUUCCCGGAGGUGUGCUGGGGCUCCAGCAACGCGCAGCGGAAAGAGAUUUAUUAUGAAAAUCAGGUGUCUGCCUCAGAGCACAUAAAAACAGUUGGCUUCAUAACCUUGGGGGAAAAAGAUAAAUAAAGAAAUCCCACGAGACACGUAUGAGAACUGACCCCACUGAUAGUUUAAUGAGGAUGGUGUGUGCCACUCACCUGGAUCAAUCAUUUAUGCAGAUUCCUGCCAAGCCCCCCCCACAGGCCCUGUCCCAGCCCAGCAAAGAAGAGCGUGCCAUGUUUCAGCUGAGCAAUGUCAAACCUCUGCAGGGAGCACAGCACAGCCCUGGCCAGGUGUCCUGUCCCAGGCUCCAAGGGCUGCCACCUUCAUCAGGCCAGAGGGGCAUUCUAGGACCUGUGAUCUGACUGUGGAUCAGCAUCCCUCCUGCUGGUUCUUGUCCACGGUGAUGUCCCAGGGACACCUGGCUUGGUGUGAGCAGAGUGCCUGAAAUGGACCCUUUUAUUCCUGUCUCAGGUACACCAGAUUUUUCCUUUUUCUCCUCUCAAAGUGUAUGUGUAAUAAAUAGCACAGGACUAGGAGGAUGAAAAGAUGAAUCACAGCUAUGAAAAUAUUUGACUAUGUUUUAAGCAGGACUCCCAGCAGGUACAACCAUAGCCAUGUACCACUGACGUGCUUCAGAGGCAUCAAAAGACUGCUUUUUCCACCACUGAGUUACGGUUAAUUAUUCUUAAAAUAAACUGCUACCAUGCAGUAUUAAUUCAGAAGAAACUGUAAGUUCCUUGCUAUUUUCUACAGCUUGUUUUCACAAUGAAUUAAUGGGAGUUAAUUUAGCAGUUCACAACAAACAGGACCACUGCAGGAAUACAAACUAGGUGUUGCUUCCUGAAUUCUUCCUCCCUCUUGUUAGUGCUCCUCUUGGACUUUUAUUAGAUGUAGUACAAAAGGUCUUAGUCUGGCAAAGAGUAAAUUUGCUGGAAAGGCAGAAGUCAGGAAAAAAUAGUGCAUUAUUUUCUCCUCUUGUGGAUAUUAACAGUUUGGCACAGAAGCACUGCUCUGACAGUGGAAAAGAAUGGUAAAAAAUGGGCUCUAAUUCUUUGCAGUAUGUUAAUAUUAGUAUCUGAACCAUGAUGGUGUUGUCAUGUCUGUGUAGCAUGUCUUUUGUCCAAGACCAAUCCCAGUUUUCUGGAGCAAGAACCAUUUCAGCCCACAGGUGGCACUUGGACUGUCAAUCACUUUCUCUAAAAAUGCAAGAGAUUUUAGUCCUCGCUGAGAUGGAAAACUAAAAUAAGCAAUUUGGAAAGCAUUCUGCAUCUUGGAGAGGCUUUCUAUAAUUUAUUCAAACUCAGCUUGAAAUAGAGAAAUGGUUUUACCUCCAGAAGCAUCCAAAAAUACAUUGUGUCAGCAAGUGCAUUAUGUGGGAAAAUCACCAAAUCUUCAAAAGCUGGAGGUCGAGGUGCCUGUGCUAACAAAGGGCUCAUUUGCAGCUGCAGCUCCUGUGGAUGCCUGUGCAAGCCACAUGCUCAGCAAUGCUGGGGUCCAGCUGGUGUGCGGCCAAGGCUCUUCAACAGCAGUGUCCCCACAGCCAGAUUUGAAUUCUGGGAUCCCCUCAGCCAGUCCAGAAGCUGUAGGGAUGCACAGAGGUUCCUUGGGCGUUCCAGGAGAGUAGGAUGCUCCUGCCUCCUGGCUCAGGCUUCUUUGUCUGUGCUGCCAGAGAUGGGAGCUGAUUUUUACUGCAUUGGCAUCCGCUCUAGAAGGUCACAAGGGAGGAAAGAGUCCCAAGCUGUGCCAGGGGAGGUUUAGACUGGAUGCUGGGGGAAAUUUCUGCAUGGAAAGGGUGUGCAGCACUGAGCAGGUUGCCCAGGGCAGUGGUGGAAUCCCCAUUCCUGAAUAGGUUUGAGAGACAUGCAGGUGUGGUACCUAGAGACAGGGUUCAGUGGUGGCCUUGGCAGUGCUGGGGGAGCUGUUGGAUUUGGGGGUCUUAAGUGUCUUUCCAACCUUCUUAACUCUGUGAUUCCAUAAAGCUGUUGCUUGCUUUUUUCUUUGAAGGUGCAUCUAUCCUUCUGGGAGACCGUGAGCAGAGCAAGUUGGGGUUUCAUUUCCACCAGGAACAAAGCAAGUCAGUCCUGGAAACACUGCCUGUGUGGUUUUAGAGAUCUGUAGCAGCAGUUGUAGAGACUGGGGGUGGGGAGAAUGGCACACAGAGAAAAUUUCAUUCAAGCAAUUAAGGAAUCACCACAUUUUUAUGAUUAACUUCUUGUUCCCAGGCUGAAUGCAGAAGCUGUUAGUGGGGGCAUUGCUAUUCCAUACCUGACACGAACAAUGGGAAUAUUUGUUCUGCCCGGGAGGAUUACACCUUCCAUUAAUCUAAGUUUUAUUGAAAGUUUAAAUAACAGACAGACAAAAUUUGAUCAAUUAGCAGUGUAAUUCCAAGGAGAUGUCACAGUGAAAUUAAAUCUCAAGCAUUUUUAAUGCAAAGAAACCUAGGAGCUCCCUCCAGUUUUCUUUCUCAGUACAGUGUUUAGAUUUUAAUUGAAAGUUUAUUCUGCUUUGUGCAUCUUCUAGUAAAUUUUAAUUUCAGACUGUAAUGAGAACAAUUUUCUAUUACAGUGUUUGUAGCAUUUCACAGAUAGAUCCACGAUGCCUCAUAAAUGAGGAAAACAAACAGGUUUGUGUAGGAUGCACUAGCCAUGGAAAUCUCCAGAAGAAAAGAGAUUUAUGUGGGGAAAAGGGAGGGAAUUGGUGCUGUGUGAGGAAGGAUGCAUGGGGGGAACUGGGUGGGUGUGAUUAUUGUUCCCACGUGCUCAGACCCUGGGCUCUCUCGGGGCUCCUUCAGGUCCCCACCAGUGCCAGACUGCUGGGGCUGUUCUCGUGCUCAUCCCACCCCAGACAAAAGCUGCCCCCUGAGCCCACCCCAGCCCUGCUGCUCCUCUGCUUCCCAGCUGCCGUGGUCCCUUCCUGCAUCCUGCCAUUUCAGCUUUCAUUUCCUUAUGUAAUUUCUGUGUCCCCAGUGAAGUGUUGUUGCCAUCAUUACCGCUCCACAUGUCUUCCAUUUUUCUUAUCAUAAAUGUCAUUCUCAUACUGCAAAUACCAGAAGUGCCACAACCUUGCUGUGAAUCUAUCUCAGUGCUAUCUUUGGAGACAUACCUCAUCUGAGGAGAAGUAAUACUGAAAAUAGCUGUAUAUUUUUGAAUGUAUAUUUUUGUCUGGCUGGAUGUCAGGGAUCAGCUUGUCGGGCAGCUGAAGCAGUGCAAAUCCCCCGUCUGCACAGGUCUAGUUUUGUUUACACAAUAAGAGUUUCUGGUCAAACCUGGGCCUUGAUACCCUUACAGACAGCUUCCCAAAAGUGACAAAGACUCCAGAUGUGACAGCAGAUACUGGUGAGGAGAGGUUUCUCAGUGAUAGGGGAGGCACAGAACACAGCAGCAGGACUGACUGCUGGGUGUGCAGCACACGGGCUGUGAUGGCAAUUCACUCUGGACUGUUCCUCUGUCAGUCACCAUCAGGUGAGCAAAUACCGGAGGAACUGCUUGUGGAAAUUAACAGACGUGGCUGCACAUUCCCAACAUCUGAUGAUCUGUAACUGUUCCUCCCAAGCCAAUCUGUUUGCGAAUCCUGGGGCACCAGGCAGCUGCAGCCCUGGCUGGGCCACACCAGCUCUCUGUGGCAUAAUCAUGCCUGGGAGGUGAGGAUUUGGGGUUUCUCACAAAGUAAUUUUUCUUAGUAAAAGCAGUGAUUAACCUUGCUUCAGUCACGAGCAGCAGUAUUUAAAACAACAACAAGAAAAAAGGCAGCUGAGAGCUGCCUGCAGCUUGGCUCGGGCAGCCGCUCCUCCAUAUGGCGUGUGAAAUGCCAGCACAUGAAAUUAACUCUCAUAAAUAAGUAAUAAGGGCUGAUUUGCCCAGAUCUGGAUGGGCUGACUUCCUAUGGAACACAGCCCUUAGCCGUGGCAUCAGUGUAACUGCAGGUGUUGGAGGCCAUGGAGUUCCAACAAAAUGUGUAUUCUAGGGAGAGCUUGGAAGGGAAAAUCCACUCUGGGAAGGAGCCAGCAUUCCAGCCUCAUUCCAGGAUGCUCAAGGAGGAGUGCCUGUUUGUGUUUUCAGAAUUGAAUAUUUCAGUUUUCUGACACUUUUCACAAGUCAGGCUCAAGUGAAAUUAUAUUUUGUUCAAACAGAGCCUUUGAAGUAACCAAAAUUUUCCCUUGCAGAGGACUCCUUGUAUGGGAACUCUUUUUCCUCUCCAGAAUGUGAGAAAAUGGAAAUAAUGAAGCUUCCUCUGAAAAAUCAGAAAGAUUUGUCCCACAUCACAUAUCUCAUGUAAUCUUUCACUGACAGCACAGGGGGUUCAGACUGAAAGCCCUAUUCCUGCUAGAGCAGAAAUUCAGCAUGCAAGAAAGUGGCAAGAUUUGAAGUAGAACUCUAUAACUUAGAGUUGGCCAUCUCUGACAAAUAAAAAUUAAACACAAAUAGUCAAAUUCUCACAGACCCUGGUGUUUUGAGCCAGCAGCUUUUCAGCUCAUCUGCAAGAGCCCUUCCCAAGUGCCUGGUGUCCCCUCACAGCAGGCAUUGCUUCAGGUCCUGACCCAGCUGAGGGGCCAGCACCUUUCCAGCAGCACCACGGGUUCCUGGAGGCCUGGCCCUGCAAAAACAAUGGAAUCUUUCUUCAGCCACCAUCAGUGAAAUGGAGGCAGUGUCCCUGGGAGCUGGGGGCUGAUGGAUGGUCCCUGAAGUGCAGCAGCACAAUCUGUCAGGGCCGCGGUUAAUGGGGGGAAUGGAAAUAGCCUGAGCCUGCCCAGCUGACAUCAUCUGCUAAAGGAGCUGAGAGCCAGCUCACAGUGCACCCUGCUCCUCUCUUCACUGCCAUU